ACGGACGUCAAUUAGAGGUAAGUUGUCUGCCUUCCAAGCAGAAUACAUGGUUCGAUUCCCAUCGUCCGUA
This 70-nucleotide transfer RNA is filed under the name Eukaryota sp. BB2. RNAcentral's name for it is "tRNA-Gly". It matches the Rfam family "tRNA". From Rfam's summary of the family: Transfer RNA (tRNA) molecules are approximately 80 nucleotides in length. The record is from RNAcentral.